UACGAAGGGGGCUAGCGUUGCUCGGAAUCACUGGGCGUAAAGCGCACGUAGGCGGCUUCUUAAGUCAGGGGUGAAAUCCUGGAGCUCAACUCCAGAACUGCCUUUGAUACUGGGGAGCUCGAGUCCGGGAGAGGUGAGUGGAACUGCGAGUGUAGAGGUGAAAUUCGUAGAUAUUCGCAAGAACACCAGUGGCGAAGGCGGCUCACUGGCCCGGUACUGACGCUGAGGUGCGAAAGCGUGGGGAGCAAACAGG
RNAcentral lists this ribosomal RNA (253 nucleotides) under uncultured bacterium. RNAcentral describes it as "partial 16S ribosomal RNA". It matches the Rfam family "Bacterial small subunit ribosomal RNA", at positions 524 to 776 of the family's 1533-position model. The record is from RNAcentral.